UAAGCCCAUGCCGGUCGAAGAUACCAGGCCGCUGCGACUGUUUAUUAAAAACACAGCACUCUGCAAACACGAAAGUGGACGUAUAGGGUGUGACGCCUGCCCGGUGCCGGAAGGUUAAUUGAUGGGGUUAGCGAAAGCGAAGCUCUUGAUCGAAGCCCCGGUAAACGGCGGCCGUAACUAUAACGGUCCUAAGGUAGCGAAAUUCCUUGUCGGGUAAGUUCCGACCUGCACGAAUGGCGUAACGAUGGCGGCGCUGUCUCCACCCGAGACUCAGUGAAAUUGAAAUCGCUGUGAAGAUGCAGUGUAUCCGCGGCUAGACGGAAAGACCCCGUGAACCUUUACUGUAGCUUUGCACUGGACUUUGAGCCUGCUUGUGUAGGAUAGGUGGGAGGCUUUGAAGCGUGGACGCCAGUCUGCGUGGAGCCAUCCUUGAAAUACCACCCUGGCAUGCUUGAGGUUCUAACUCUGGUCCGUUAUCCGGAUCGAGGACAGUGUAUGGUGGGCAGUUUGACUGGGGCGGUCUCCUCCUAAAGAGUAACGGAGGAGUACGAAGGUGCGCUCAGACCGGUCGGAAAUCGGUCGUAGAGUAUAAAGGCAAAAGCGCGCUUGACUGCGAGACAGACACGUCGAGCAGGUACGAAAGUAGGUCUUAGUGAUCCGGUGGUUCUGUAUGGAAGGGCCAUCGCUCAACGGAUAAAAGGUACUCCGGGGAUAACAGGCUGAUACCGCCCAAGAGUUCAUAUCGACGGCGGUGUUUGGCACCUCGAUGUCGGCUCAUCACAUCCUGGGGCUGAAGCCGGUCCCAAGGGUAUGGCUGUUCGCCAUUUAAAGUGGUACGCGAGCUGGGUUUAGAACGUCGUGAGACAGUUCGGUCCCUAUCUGCCGUGGACGUUUGAGAUUUGAGAGGGGCUGCUCCUAGUACGAGAGGACCGGAGUGGACGAACCUCUGGUGUUCCGGUUGUCACGCCAGUGGCAUUGCCGGGUAGCUAUGUUCGGAAUAGAUAACCGCUGAAAGCAUCUAAGCGGGAAACUAGCCUCAAGAUGAGAUCUCACUGGGAACUUGAUUCCCCUGAAGGGCCGUCGAAGACUACGACGUUGAUAGGUCGGGUGUGUAAGCGCUGUGAGGCGUUGAGCUAACCGAUACUAAUUGCCCGUGAGGCUUGACCAU
RNAcentral lists this ribosomal RNA (1168 nucleotides) under Escherichia coli. RNAcentral's name for it is "partial 23S ribosomal RNA". It matches the Rfam family "Bacterial large subunit ribosomal RNA", at positions 1763 to 2925 of the family's 2925-position model. Lineage: Bacteria; Pseudomonadati; Pseudomonadota; Gammaproteobacteria; Enterobacterales; Enterobacteriaceae. The record is from RNAcentral.